CGCGAAACGAGCGUAGCUUCCUUGUCGUGUGGCCUCAGUCCUUCGCCGUCCCUCGCCGUCCUUCGCCAUCGCACGCCACCGCACCCCAUCUCUCGAAAUCUGCAGACAUCUUGAUUUUUCCCACGCUGUCUGUCAGGUCUCCGCCGCCACUCGACGCCAGGGCGCCGGGUGAGUCCACAGCAGGGCGCAUGGUCGGCUCCACUCUCACCAUCGGGGGAAACUGAGGCCCCGGGGAAGGCGGCCAGAGAGGUCAGGCCCUGUCCUUGGUGCAGUGUCUCGUCCUCUUUGCCGGAGUGAGCCCCCCAGGAUUCGCGUGUCCUCGGGAAAGACACUGGCAGGCCUUGUGGGCUGUGCUGCACCUCGGACGGCUUCGCACCAGCCAGCGCCCUCUCUCUCCUGCAGCACUCUGAUCUGCACCCCCUGAGGGGCUUCCACUGUCCGCGGGGUGAGAAUGCCCCUGGGAGUGUCACAUGACUGCCGCCCCAUGUGUGUGAGAGGCGUCCUCUGGGAGAGCAUGGAUCCUGAGGUCCCAGGAUUGUCAGCUGACCUCUGUCCUGUGUGCCCAGUGGCCCCAGGUGACGUGUCUUCAAGAAGAGGCUGAGCUGCGGUGCUUGUAAGGGUCUCAUUCUGUCACCCAGGCUGGAGUGCAGUGGUGCAAUGAUGGCUCACUGCAGCCUCGACCUGGGCUCAAGUGAUCCUCCACCUCAGCUUCCUGAGUAGCUGGGACCACAGAUGGGUCUGCUGUGUGCAGAGGCUCCAUGGGAUGUGUUGUCUUCAUAGUAGCAGGGCGCUGGACCAUGGGUCCGCAAGGUCUCAGCCUUAGAUCCAAGGACAGUCCAAGGAAGUCCUAAGACCAUGGAGUUGGUGAUCUGGGAUCUGGGUUUGCUGAUAUUUCUCACCGUGAAUCUCUUGGUGGUGUUUGUGGGCACGAGAGGGGCAGAGAAUGGAGAGUGAGGCUACCACAUGAAGCGUCACCAGAGCUGCUCCCUGCUGCCUGCUCAGAGCACCCCGGAUCCACUGUUCAAUCUGCACAAGAUUCGGGGUCCAGACAUGGGAGACUUCAGCUGCCUCAGAGGACCGUGGACAGGGAAGGCCAGCCUCGCAUCCCUCUGUCCAUGCCUGGAAUGACUUUAAUAACCAAGAGUUUUAUUUUUGAAUUUGUAGCUGUCGUUCACUUUUUACCCACCCAUUCAAUAAACCUUACAGAAUUGCUCCA
Molecule: long non-coding RNA, 1216 nt
Filed under: Homo sapiens (human)
Lineage: Eukaryota; Metazoa; Chordata; Mammalia; Primates; Hominidae
Description: PREDICTED lncRNA (TCONS_00170856)
Source: RNAcentral